UUAAUUAAAUUUUUUGACUAAUAUGUGGUGUUCAUACAUUUGUAUGGUAGUAUAGGGAAGUAUCACAAACUCAAACCCUUUCAGGGGAUCCUGCAGUUAACAUAUGUGAAUGAAACAGCUAUAUUAAAAUGUAUCCAUCGUCUUUUAAACACAAUGGCAUCAUUCUUUAAGCACAUCAUCUUAAAGAAAGAAAGGGAAAAUGAGAUGGAAGGAGGCCGGCUGGAAAAAAAGAGAAAAAUAUUCAGGUUAAAUUUUCUAAUAGAUGCAUCAUACACAGGGUAGUAUAUUUAUGGAAAACUGCUCCCAAAUUCAGGUUGCAAGUGAGUGCUAAGGUGACUUUAAAAAAAUUAUUAUUUUUAUUUUGUAAAGACUUGUACCUAUACCAAAUCAUUUCCUCCCCUAUUACAAAUGCUUGCCUACAAUAUCCUUUGGUGAAUAAUAGUGCAAUUCAAAUGACAUCUAAUCAGAACAUCGUUUUCAUAAUUGAUCUGAUAUUUGCAGUGCCUUUUCUUAAUCUUUGAGGAUGUUUUGUAGCAGGGACUCUGCCUAUCUGUUUGAAUUAAAUAGGAGAAAUGGAAGUAUCAGCUCUUAGAUAACAAUGGAUUUAAAAUCA
This 613-nucleotide long non-coding RNA is filed under the name Homo sapiens (human). RNAcentral's name for it is "non-protein coding lnc-DOK5-2:3". The record is from RNAcentral. Lineage: Eukaryota; Metazoa; Chordata; Mammalia; Primates; Hominidae.